Molecule: long non-coding RNA, 261 nt
Filed under: Musa acuminata (dwarf banana)
Lineage: Eukaryota; Viridiplantae; Streptophyta; Magnoliopsida; Zingiberales; Musaceae
Description: long non-coding RNA (MACU_LNC005281)
Source: RNAcentral
UGCUGUUUGAUACUGCGUGGUUUGUGGUUUCACAGUGAACUGCAAGUACCACUGCCGUGUCCGUGUGUGAUCUGAUCGUCUUCAUCAUAGAAGAGGAGUUGCAUUUGGAAGAGAGAGAGUGAUAAGAGUGUGUGUACAUACAGCACUGCAUCUAAUAAAGGACAGGACAAUCCAACAAAGAUAUGCUCAUUCACGCAUCACGAGACUGCAACAAGGCACGGCUGAGUCCUCAGCCCAUCCUUUGGUUUGUGGAUCUGUGAC